GCCUGGGUGGCUCAGUCGGUUAAGCUUCUGACUUCAGCUCAGGUCAUGAUCUCGCAGUCCGUGGGUUCCAGCCCCAUGUCAGGCU
RNAcentral lists this transfer RNA (85 nucleotides) under Felis catus (domestic cat). It matches the Rfam family "tRNA". Rfam says of the family: Transfer RNA (tRNA) molecules are approximately 80 nucleotides in length. Lineage: Eukaryota; Metazoa; Chordata; Mammalia; Carnivora; Felidae. RNAcentral also lists the same sequence under 2 other names. The record is from Rfam by way of RNAcentral.